This 497-nucleotide ribosomal RNA is filed under the name uncultured bacterium. Its description in RNAcentral is "partial 16S ribosomal RNA". It matches the Rfam family "Bacterial small subunit ribosomal RNA", at positions 28 to 507 of the family's 1533-position model. The record is from RNAcentral.
GAUGAACGCUGGCGGCGUGCCUAAUACAUGCAAGUCGAGCGAACAGACGAGGAGCUUGCUCCUCUGACGUUAGCGGCGGACGGGUGAGUAACACGUGGAUAACCUACCUAUAAGACUGGGAUAACUUCGAGAAACCGGAGCUAAUACCGGAUAAUAUAUUGAACCGCAUGGUUCAAUAGUGAAGGUCGGUUUUGCUGUCCCUUAUAGAUGGAUCCGCGCCUCAUUAGCUAGUUGGUAAGGUAACGGCUUACCAAGGCAACGAUGCGUAGCCGACCUGAGAGGGUGAUCGGCCACACUGGAACUGAGACACGGCCCAGACUCCUACGGGAGGCAGCAGUAGGGAAUCUUCCGCAAUGGGCGAAAGCCUGACGGAGCAACGCCGCGUGAGUGAUGAAGGUCUUCGGAUCGUAAAACUCUGUUAGUAGGGAAGAACGAAUGUGUAUGUAACUAUGCCCGUCUUGACGGUACCUCAUCAGAAAGCCCCGGCUAACUACGUG